This is a long non-coding RNA of Tetranychus urticae (two-spotted spider mite), 2742 nucleotides long. RefSeq lists it as uncharacterized. The record is from RefSeq and is a predicted model, not a curated record. Lineage: Eukaryota; Metazoa; Arthropoda; Arachnida; Trombidiformes; Tetranychidae.
CAGCUGAUUACAUAAGCUCAAAAGCACAACGGCGCUCGCAUUUCAAAUCCAAUAUGUGUUAUUGAUUACAUUAAUAUCAUUUUCUGAUGGAUACAAUUUUGAUUGAUUACUACAAUUAAUUAGAAUACAGAAUUUCAUCCUCCUAUCUUCUGAUGCAAUAAUAAUAAUCAUCAGCAUCAUCUUCACUUUACCUAGUGACUUAGGAAUGGUGACCCAUCAUAGUGAAAUAUAUUUACAUCGCAAACGUUUUCCUCCUCAUCAUCAACAUUAUCAUCAUUUUGUAGGAAAAAUAAUCAUCUUUACCUUGAAGCAAAAUAAAAAAAGGAACGCAAAGAUCUCAACCUUUAAGACUCAUCUUCUUCAACAUCAUCUUAUCUUGUCUUCUCCUCCUUUUUUCAACUUUAUCUUCUGCUUCAUCUUCCGUUCGUGUUAUGUCGAUCAUUUUUUAAAAAAAAAUUACUCCAAAAUGAACAUUAGUCCAAGUGUUGAGAGGUUAAGGUGCAAAAAUAAGGUGGAUAAAACACUCAGAGACGCAUUUUGCUGCCUUCAUCUUCAUCAUCAUCAUUAUCAUCAUCAUCUUUGAAGACGAUCAUCCAGCUUCUUUCUUCAUUAUAAAUACAACUUGUAUGCUUUCUACCUUGAGGCUAUUACGAGAGAUUCCAGUUUUUGCUGUUCUUCGUUUUUUUUGGAGCAAAAAAAUUACCCAGAGAAGAGACUAACAGACAAAACUAAUAUCUUAAGUUAAAAUCAAAUUGAAGUCAAGAUCAAGCCAAUUAACUCUCCCAAUUUUCAACUAAUCAUGAUCAAAGUAAACUUUGGUUGAAACAAUUUUCUUGCUUGCUUUAACCAUUUUGAUGCAUUGAACGGACAAAGGAUCAAGUCAAACUGAAAGCAAGGCCUGAGUUAAAGGCAAAGAAAACUUAAUCAACUGAAAAUCUUGAUUGACUUUACGAUGUGUUGGCCAAUUAAUUGACCAAUUGAAAUAUCCAUUGUAAAAGGCCUUCAGUCAACUCACAACUGCAAUCAAUUGGAGUCAAUUACAUGGCAACAUUGUAACCAUUGAAACAACUGACAGUCACUGCAACUAUAAUGUUCAGCCUGUUUCUUUACAUUCAACAUCAUCUAAAUGAUUAACAUUUUCAAGAAAAUUGUCUUCAAGACUUCUCACAGUUGUCAUCAUCAUCAUCAUCAUCUUCAAUGUUGUUGUCAUAUUAAAUGGUUCUUUGUCAAUAAGAUUGAUUAUCUUGUAGCAUUACCAGACUGACAAGCCAGAGAACGAGAAAACCAAAUUUUAAGAUAUGUAAAUUCAGUUUGGUUACUUGCGUGUUAAAUAUCGUAAUGUUAUUCAUCAAUCACAAGUUUAAUUUGAUGUAUCAAAUGAUUGUGAUUUUAUGAAAUAUCAAUCAAAACUGUAUUCAUUAGGUUUUAUCAUUGGUUGAUUAUCAUAAUAUAAUUAGAGUUAAAAUGUUUCUUUAAGUUCAGUUUUGUGCGAACUCAUUUUUGAACAUUUUGCCAAAAAAAACCAAUGAAUAUUAAAUUUCGAGUAAAUUUUACUCAUUUUUGUAUUUCUUGAGAAUCUUUUUUUUCACUGUAAUUGCAUUUUCAUUGUAAACUGAUGAACAUAAAUCUUACAAGAUUGUUGCUCAUCAUCUCUAAAUCAAUCCAAAUAUAUUGCUAUUUUGUUAAACAUUACAUUGUCAUACCAAUGGAAAAGUUAUUGUAAUUAUUUCCAAUAUUAGAUGUGAAACCAUUUCAAUAAUCAUAAAUCAAUAGCCAGUGUCAGUUUAAACUAGCAAAAUCAUUUGAUUAAUGAUUAGACAGAAGCUGUUGUGGCUGUUAUGGUUAUCAAUUGAAGUCAAGCACAAUUUCUGGAUUAUCGUUUGGUUCCAGGACUAUUCUUGGGAAAAUUGUGAUUCCUGAAGUCGACAGCACUUACAACUUCCAUGUAAAGAUUGGUGUUUGGAACAAUGGAAUACUCAAAGAUAAUGGAUUCCAAUUCAUCAUUAACUCUUUCAUCAUAUUCCAACAGAUGAAUUCAAGACCAUCUUGAGAUAUUUCCGAGUUGAUCUCCAAAGCGAUUGUAAAUUAUCAUUGUAACCAUCAAAAAUAAUCAAUCUUCAUCUGUUAAUCAAUUGAAACAGCUUACGACUUACUUUCGUUAGACUUGAUGCCAAAAUUAGGUUAAAAAAUGAUGACAUUUAUCCAAGUAUAAGGCCCAAUCUUUCAUCUUUCAUCAUCUAAUUACAAUUAUCAAAACAAACAGUAAUGCAGCCAUUUACAUUAAGCCAGUUAUUGAUUAGAGAUUUAAUAUUAACAUGGUUGCUUUGAGUAUUGAGCUGAAGCUAUCAGUUGAGCUGAGUAUUUCCAACAAUUAACACAUUUACAAAUGAGAGAUGAAAUUUAUCAACAAUAACCUCAUUUCAUCUGUCAAUGUUGACAUUUAUAGCUAACAACUUGAAAGCAUCAAGCAAAACAUCAACCACAAUCAAAUCAUAAAUCUAUUCCAAUCAACCUCUCAGCUUGUCUCUUUCAUAGCCAAAAACCAAUGUUAAUUUACAUCUAAUAUCAUUUUCCUGUUUCUUUUCCCAUUUUCACCCGUAAAAUGGUUCCUCUAUCCAUGAUGAUACCAGAAACCAGAUUAUUAAAAACCGAUCAAAUUGCUUCCCUAUCUUCAUUACCAUCAAAUCAAUUGUACAUUUCCUUUCAACAAUUCCCUUGUAAUGACAACUUAACGUGCAAACC